UUCAGUUAAUUUAAACAGAUAUCAGAACAUGCCUCUGAAAAACUGCUAAAUAUUAGCAGAUUUUUAACAUUUAAUGCAUGACACAUAAACAGCAUCUAAUCUUACAUUUCUACAUUUAUGUCUGACUGUGUUUCUCCUCCUUGUGCUUAACUGUCUGUGUGAGCUAGAGCUGCCUGAGUCUUACUUUCAGUUUUUAGAAGUGCAUUUAUAAUAAUAAUAAUAAUAAUAAUAAUGUUCUGAUCAUUCCUCUUCUGCAGCUUCAGCUGAUUCAACACUGAUUCCAGUCAGCAGCUCAAACUCUGAGAAGAAAUCAAGUCAAACUACAGCAGCUUCUACAGAACAAGAGACACAGACUCCUCAAACCCCCGAGACAACAGCUACACAGAGAGUGAUCGUGAUUGUUGUUGCUGUUGUGUUGGCUGUUCUGGUUACUGCUGUUAUUCUUUGGGUGGUUCGCAAAAAAAGAGCUGAUAACAGAAAAGGGACUAAUGACUUUGUGGAGCGGAAAGAUGAUGCAACUUAUACUGAGAUUGACACAAACUGGAAAAUCGGAGCCAAAAAUAACAAGGUGAGUAAAACUUCCCUGUUCUUCUGUUGAUGUUCACUAUCGCCAUCCACCUUCUCUUAACAGUUUGACACAAGUUUUAUUCUUAGGCUCUAACAUCAUGCUGUAAUAUUUGUGUGUUAACACUUGCAUCUUGUUUGACAAUAUUUGUGAUGUUCAUGCAGGUUCAUGACUAUGAAGUGGUUUAUUCUUUUAUCACACGAGCAACAGUUGAACCUCAGGAUGACUGCUUUUGUGAACAAGAACCAUCAGAAAUAAGUUAAACAGUCAUUAAUUAUACAAAGACCUCCUAAUAUCAAUCACAGAGAAAUAUGAACCUUAUAUUAUUGACUCCUAAAGGUUUCAUUCAGUCCCAUUGUAAAUACUGUCUCACAUUUUAACACACAUUCCCAAGUGGUGAUCUGAUUGAAAUGUUUUGGUCAAUUUGGGAUGUUUAUUUCAAAUUAACUGUCUGCUUGCUGAAUUAAUGCUAGUGCAUUUAUUAAUAAUUCUGGAUUGUGCAUCAACCUCUGUGCUUGUACAAAUAAAAUAAAAUACAUUUUCUCUCUUAGAUCAUUCUCAU
Molecule: long non-coding RNA, 1127 nt
Filed under: Carassius auratus (goldfish)
Lineage: Eukaryota; Metazoa; Chordata; Actinopteri; Cypriniformes; Cyprinidae
Description: lncRNA (ENSCARG00000049997.1)
Source: RNAcentral